This 460-nucleotide ribosomal RNA is filed under the name uncultured bacterium. RNAcentral describes it as "partial 16S ribosomal RNA". It matches the Rfam family "Bacterial small subunit ribosomal RNA", at positions 338 to 795 of the family's 1533-position model. The record is from RNAcentral.
CCUACGGGGGGCAGCAGUGAGGAAUAUUGGUCAAUGGACGAGAGUCUGAACCAGCCAAGUAGCGUGAAGGAUGACUGCCCUAUGGGUUGUAAACUUCUUUUAUAAAGGAAUAAAACGAGGCACGUGUGCCUUUUCGCAUGUACUUUAUGAAUAAGGAUCGGCUAACUCCGUGCCAGCAGCCGCGGUAAUACGGAGGAUCCGAGCGUUAUCCGGAUUUAUUGGGUUUAAAGGGAGCGUAGAUGGGUUGUUAAGUCAGUUGUGAAAGUUUGAGGCUCAACCGUAAAAUUGCAAUUGAUACUGGCAGUCUAGAGAACAGUUGAGGUAGGCGGAAUUCGUGGUGUAGCGGUGAAAUGCUUAGAUAUCACGCAGAACACCGAUUGCGAAGGCAGCUUACUAAGCUGUGACUGACAUUGAUGCUCGAAAGUGUGGGUAUCAAACAGGAUUAGAUACCCGAGUAGUA